UGGUGAGUAACACGUGGGAACGUGCCUUUUAGUGGGGGAUAACAUCUGGAAACGGAUGCUAAUACCGCAUACGCCCUGAGGGGGAAAGAUUUAUUGCUAAAAGGUCGGCCCGCGGUAGAUUAGGCAGUUGGUGGGGUAAAGGCCUACCAAACCUACGAUCUAUAGCUGGUCUGAGAGGACGAUCAGCCACAUUGGAACUGAGACACGGUCCAGACUCCUACGGGAGGCAGCAGUGAGGAAUAUUGGGCAAUGGAGGCAACUCUGACCCAGCCAUGCCGCGUGAGUGAAGAAGGUUUUCGAAUUGUAAAGCUCUUUCAGGUGUGAAGAUGAUGACGGUAACACCAGAAGAAGCCCCGGCAAACUUCGUGCCAGCAGCCGCGGUAAUACGAAGGGGGCGAGCGUUGUUCGGAAUUACUGGGCGUAAAGGGUGUGUAGGCGGUUUAGUAAGAUAGUGGUGAAAUGCCGGAGCUCAACUUCGGAAUUGCCAUUAUGACUAUUAAGCUAGAAUGAUGUAGAGGAUAGCGGAAUACCCAGUGUAGAGGUGAAAUUCGUAGAUAUUGGGUAGAACACCAGAGGCGAAGGCGGCUAUCUGGGCAUUUAUUGACGCUGAGGCACGAAAGCAUGGGGAUCAAACAGGAUUAGAUACCCUGGUAGUCCAUGCUGUAAAAGAU
Molecule: ribosomal RNA, 671 nt
Filed under: uncultured bacterium
Lineage: Bacteria
Description: bacterial SSU rRNA
Rfam family: Bacterial small subunit ribosomal RNA
Source: RNAcentral